Molecule: ribosomal RNA, 2254 nt
Filed under: soil metagenome
Description: bacterial LSU rRNA
Rfam family: Bacterial large subunit ribosomal RNA
Source: RNAcentral
UUAAGCGACUAAGCGUACACGGUGGAUGCCCUGGCAGUCAGAGGCGAUGAAGGACGUGCUAAUCUGCGAUAAGCGUCGGUAAGGUGAUAUGAACCGUUAUAACCGGCGAUUUCCGAAUGGGGAAACCCAGUGUGUUUCGACACACUAUCAUUAACUGAAUCCAUAGGUUAAUGAGGCGAACCGGGGGAACUGAAACAUCUAAGUACCCCGAGGAAAAGAAAUCAACCGAGAUUCCCCCAGUAGCGGCGAGCGAACGGGGAGCAGCCCAGAGCCUGAAUCAGUGUGUGUGUUAGUGGAAGCGUCUGGAAAGGCGCGCGAUACAGGGUGACAGCCCCGUACACAAAAAUGCACAUGCUGUGAGCUCGAUGAGUAGGGCGGGACACGUGGUAUCCUGUCUGAAUAUGGGGGGACCAUCCUCCAAGGCUAAAUACUCCUGACUGACCGAUAGUGAACCAGUACCGUGAGGGAAAGGCGAAAAGAACCCCGGCGAGGGGAGUGAAAAAGAACCUGAAACCGUGUACGUACAAGCAGUGGGAGCACGCUUAGGCGUGUGACUGCGUACCUUUUGUAUAAUGGGUCAGCGACUUAUAUUCUGUAGCAAGGUUAACCGAAUAGGGGAGCCGAAGGGAAACCGAGUCUUAACUGGGCGUUAAGUUGCAGGGUAUAGACCCGAAACCCGGUGAUCUAGCCAUGGGCAGGUUGAAGGUUGGGUAACACUAACUGGAGGACCGAACCGACUAAUGUUGAAAAAUUAGCGGAUGACUUGUGGCUGGGGGUGAAAGGCCAAUCAAACCGGGAGAUAGCUGGUUCUCCCCGAAAGCUAUUUAGGUAGCGCCUCGUGAAUUCAUCUCCGGGGGUAGAGCACUGUUUCGGCAAGGGGGUCAUCCCGACUUACCAACCCGAUGCAAACUGCGAAUACCGGAGAAUGUUAUCACGGGAGACACACGGCGGGUGCUAACGUCCGUCGUGAAGAGGGAAACAACCCAGACCGCCAGCUAAGGUCCCAAAGUCAUGGUUAAGUGGGAAACGAUGUGGGAAGGCCCAGACAGCCAGGAUGUUGGCUUAGAAGCAGCCAUCAUUUAAAGAAAGCGUAAUAGCUCACUGGUCGAGUCGGCCUGCGCGGAAGAUGUAACGGGGCUAAACCAUGCACCGAAGCUGCGGCAGCGACGCUUAUGCGUUGUUGGGUAGGGGAGCGUUCUGUAAGCCUGUGAAGGUGUACUGUGAGGUAUGCUGGAGGUAUCAGAAGUGCGAAUGCUGACAUAAGUAACGAUAAAGCGGGUGAAAAGCCCGCUCGCCGGAAGACCAAGGGUUCCUGUCCAACGUUAAUCGGGGCAGGGUGAGUCGACCCCUAAGGCGAGGCCGAAAGGCGUAGUCGAUGGGAAACAGGUUAAUAUUCCUGUACUUGGUGUUACUGCGAAGGGGGGACGGAGAAGGCUAUGUUGGCCGGGCGACGGUUGUCCCGGUUUAAGCGUGUAGGCUGGUUUUCCAGGCAAAUCCGGAAAAUCAAGGCUGAGGCGUGAUGACGAGGCACUACGGUGCUGAAGCAACAAAUGCCCUGCUUCCAGGAAAAGCCUCUAAGCAUCAGGUAACAUCAAAUCGUACCCCAAACCGACACAGGUGGUCAGGUAGAGAAUACCAAGGCGCUUGAGAGAACUCGGGUGAAGGAACUAGGCAAAAUGGUGCCGUAACUUCGGGAGAAGGCACGCUGAUAUGUAGGUGAAGCGACUUGCUCGUGGAGCUGAAAUCAGUCGAAGAUACCAGCUGGCUGCAACUGUUUAUUAAAAACACAGCACUGUGCAAACACGAAAGUGGACGUAUACGGUGUGACGCCUGCCCGGUGCCGGAAGGUUAAUUGAUGGGGUUAGCGCAAGCGAAGCUCUUGAUCGAAGCCCCGGUAAACGGCGGCCGUAACUAUAACGGUCCUAAGGUAGCGAAAUUCCUUGUCGGGUAAGUUCCGACCUGCACGAAUGGCGUAAUGAUGGCCAGGCUGUCUCCACCCGAGACUCAGUGAAAUUGAACUCGCUGUGAAGAUGCAGUGUACCCGCGGCAAGACGGAAAGACCCCGUGAACCUUUACUAUAGCUUGACACUGAACAUUGAGCCUUGAUGUGUAGGAUAGGUGGGAGGCUUUGAAGUGUGGACGCCAGUCUGCAUGGAGCCGACCUUGAAAUACCACCCUUUAAUGUUUGAUGUUCUAACGUGGACCCGUGAUCCGGGUUGCGGACAGUGUCUGGUGGGUAGUUUGACUGGGGUCU